UCCUACGGGAGGCAGCAGUGGGGAAUAUUGGACAAUGGGCGAAAGCCUGAUCCAGCCAUGUCGCGUGUGUGAAGAAGGUCUUCGGAUUGUAAAGCACUUUAAGUUGGGAGGAAGGGCAGUAAGUUAAUACCUUGCUGUUUUGACGUUACCAACAGAAUAAGCACCGGCUAACUUCGUGCCAGCAGCCGCGGUAAUACAA
RNAcentral lists this ribosomal RNA (199 nucleotides) under uncultured bacterium. RNAcentral's name for it is "partial 16S ribosomal RNA". It matches the Rfam family "Bacterial small subunit ribosomal RNA", at positions 337 to 528 of the family's 1533-position model. The record is from RNAcentral.